CACUGCUUGAAAUCCCCUCCAAUGGUGACUAAAAGGGACCUUUCCCACUGAGGUGGAAAGCAGCCCUUCUCUUAGCUGUACCAGGGCCUUUGCAGUGGUUGUCAGGGUGGAGCCAGGCAGGACCCCUGGAAACACAGAGUAGAGGAUGUGUACUGUGGGCUCAUUUAAGCCAGGUUUCCUUUAAAACCAUCUUUUCCAAAGCUACUUGUAAUUCUUUGGCUGAAGAUACUGCAAUUUUCGUGAAUAGCAAAGGACAGAGAACUCUUGAGUAGACUGCAUCACAUAAACUAGCUGCCAUCCAAGCCAAGCCUAAUGCAUCGUCUGCGAGUUAUUUGGAGGGAAAAUCACAGAGCACACCAGAGUGACUCGUCUCUUAAGAACUAGGAUGAAGUCUAUUUGAGUGCUGCACCUAAUCACAAAAUGAACCCAGGAUAAAGCAGUCAAAGCUGCCAUUAACAUGAAUGUGAGACCAGGAGAAGCCUUGGAGCACAGCCAGUGCUACAGAAAGGAUGGAAGUUUGCUCUGUGCACAGGAGGGCAGCUCUCGGUCCAUUCGGCACCUUCAGAAACGAGGCUCAUUUCAAACCUCAGGAAAGCAGUGGGUGGUGGCUACUGUGUCAGAGCAAAAGUAGGACUGGAUGGGGUGGCUCUGGGGAAAGGAGUAGGUGCACCAGAGGCAAUGACUUGCCCCAGGUCGCACCCCUGGGGUGGAAGGGCCACGGUCCAGCCCGGGCAGUCACCGUCCUGAGCCUGCCUGGCAUCUGGAAGGUGGAAUAAACAUGUGAACGAGAAGCUAUUAAAUUUGCGUGUCUUUUUUGUUUAUUUUUGCCAGGGUGGAGAGAUGUUAAUGAUUAUUUUUCCUUCUUGAAAGAAGCGAUGUUUUAAAAGGGAGACGUGGCAUUCAUGGAGUGGCUGGGCUUUUCUGUAACUCUUGGGACGUGAUUAGUGAGCAGAAAGUCACUCGAUUUCCCGUGGCAUCUGUACCACACUCCUGUGCCCUGAAGCAUAGAUAAGACAACUGAAAAAUGUGCAAAUAUACAAAGUAACCAGGAUUCCAGAUUUAAAAUUCUGUUCUAAAUUAAGUGCUAUAACAUCAUUUAAGUACAUACUAUACUUGUUUACAAUGACGAUAUUGCAUCUCUUAUUUAGAGAAAAGGACAAGGAUAGGUAAUAUAUUUUAUAAUCUUUUAUCCUCAGUACUUAGCAGAUACUCAAUACCAGCUGAAUGAAUAAAAAGGUGAUUUA
This is a non-coding RNA of Sus scrofa (pig), 1244 nucleotides long. NCBI's taxonomy places the organism in Eukaryota, Metazoa, Chordata, Mammalia, Artiodactyla, Suidae. The record is from RefSeq and is a predicted model, not a curated record.